GCCCGUAUAGCUCAGUGGUAGAGCGCGUCACUCGUAAUGAUGAGGUCGGCGGUUCGAUCCCGCCUGGGGGCA
This is a transfer RNA of 72 nucleotides. It matches the Rfam family "tRNA". From Rfam's summary of the family: Transfer RNA (tRNA) molecules are approximately 80 nucleotides in length. The record is from Rfam.